Globicephala melas (long-finned pilot whale) is the source of this 4531-nucleotide long non-coding RNA. RefSeq lists it as uncharacterized. Lineage: Eukaryota; Metazoa; Chordata; Mammalia; Artiodactyla; Delphinidae. The record is from RefSeq and is a predicted model, not a curated record.
AGCGGAUUGGUGGGCGGGCGUAUGGCGACCAGGCCUGGACCGCCACGAGGCUGGGUGGCGCCGUGGGGUCGCUCUUCUUGGCGCCCCAAGUCACCAAAGCUGAAAGGGGAGGUGAGGGCUCUCAGGGACCAACCCUUGUUCUCGCUGAUGGCGGUGGGCGAGCCCACCUAACAGGGAUCCGCCGCCGGGGUGAGGCGAGGAGCAGGCUUUCCAGGGCCUGGAGGUAGAGGGCCCAGACCCUGAGGAGAGGGGCUCACUGCCCCGCUGCAGAGGAGCGGCCCCAGAUGGAUAAGGAGUUGAGGUCGCGGGGGUGCUGAGCCCUGCCGAAGUGGAAGUUACUGGCUACCAGAACCUGAAAACCCCAAAUCACUUGGAUGAGUGAGGAUCAGAGCUGAAACUCCACCACAGAUCAGCAGUGGGACCUGAGAGGUGGCAGCAAUGUGGCCGAUGUUUGAAAGGCAGCUGGGUAGCCUGACCACAGGGACCCGAGGAACGGGACUGGUGAGAAAGGCACACUUUCCGCACCGAAGAUGCGUUACCGGAUUCAGGCCGUUUUUGUGCUCCGACACCAGGGCAGCUUCGCCUCCAGGCCCUUGCGCAAACAGCCCGGGACCUCUCCAGCCAAGCUGCACCCCGCCCCGCCACCAGACUAGCUGCGCCAAAAGGCUGGCGAUGCCCCGACGUGACCAAGCCCACACCACCAACCCUGGUAGCCCGUUGGGCACCUCCCAAGACUCCCGUACCUCCUCUGCCUGCCUUCCAAGCACCGGUGACUCGUGGGGAACCGCCGGCCGGCUCUUAGAGGUCGGCUCUGGGGCGUGCGGGCAGGUGCGCACGCUCUUUGCUGCGGUCUCCGGCCCCGCAAGCGCCCGGAGACGGGCGUUGGCGGCCAGGACCGGCGCGCAGCCGCGGGGGGCACUGGCGCCGAAGUCCGGCGCCUCCAAAUUGACAGCGACGGGACCUGGGCUCUAGGCUCCGAGUGUCUUAAGCGGCGCGCGCGUGUGCGCGCAACUUUCCCCGGGAGCCGGCAGUCUCCGGAGUUGUCGCCCAAUCCCAGCCUGGUUAGUAUUCGCACAUUGCAACAGUGUCGCUACCGCCGGGCGGCUCUGCUUUCUGAAAGUUGGCGCGAGCACCUCCGAACCACGUUUCGGGCACCCGCCAAGGCCAACUGGUUUGAGACUACUUACUCUAGGAGGGAAAAAAGCACGUAAAACAAAGUACUUACCCGUGCCUUCUGGGUGUGCAGCUCGAAACCUGGGGUGCUCCCGGAAUUCAGUCGUGCAUCCUGGACACCAGCUCGGAGACCUCAGGCUGUCUCCAGAGGGGCGCGAGAAGCGCCCCGCCGCCCCUCUGGCCAACAGGCCUUUGGCCACCCGGGCGCCCGCCAGCGCCCCGGGGGAGAUUCGCGGAGCUCUUCCUAGCUCGCCCUGCGCCCCCGCCUCCAGGGCUAACUAGCUGAGCCCGCUCUCUUCCCGCCUUCCUUCUAACCUGCCUUUGCUUCUCCCUCCCUUCCUCCCAUCGCUCCAGCACCGACCCCAGACUCCCCAGUUUAGCGGUUGGUCACCAACCUGGGUCAAAGAAAACAAGGAGAAUCUGGGGCGCGUCCUCCAUUAGUGACGCCGGAUGGGGAUGGGUCCCCUUUUGGAAGGAGACUCCGGAGAUGGGUCGCGGCGGGUGGGCUUCUUCGGCUUGCAGCGGCGCCGUCGCUGCUUCUUCUCCUUUGGCUGCUCAGACUCCUCGGGGUCCCUCGGAUCCUUGUCCUCGGGCUCGGGCUCCUCCCCUUGUCUGGGGCUCUCAGACUCCCGAGUGCUGGGCUGCGUGCGACUCGGGGAGGCGUCGGGGCUCUGCAACCUCAGGGCGUUGAGACGCUCAGUGAGAGACUGGUCGAAGGUGCGGCGCUUGGCCACCACGGGGCCGCGCUCGUCCUCGGGCUCGGUCUCGGGCUCAGUGGUGGGGGCGGUCUCAGGGUCGCUCUGGAAGUCGGUCUCCGACUCGAUUUCAGACUCGGUCUCGGAUUCGUAGUCGAACUCUUCCUCGUACUCCAGGCACUCGGGGAGGGAGAGCUCGAGGUCUGCCUCCUCGUGCUCGUGGUCGGAUUCGGGGGGCUCGGGGAAUACCUGGGCGGCGGAGCGGUGGUGGGCGUUAAGGAAGCUCCGGCGCUGGGCAGCCGCGCGCUGCUGGGCGCGGGCGCUGGAGGUGGCGAGGGCGCGAAGGAGAGCAAUGGAGCAGGAGAGCCAGAGGAGUGCGGUGGCUGCCCGGCGGCCUAGGGGUGGGCACAGAUCGUUGUAACUGUGGCGAGCUCGGCGCCCUUGCUGAGCUCGGGAUCUGCGAUCCAUCCUCACACACACUCGGCGAAUCCGACCCACCCUCUGGCUCUGCAGAGAGCAGCUCCGAAGAGCAUCGGCUGCUAGAGCCGGAAAAGGUGCUCCUCGCGAGGUUAAGAAGCUGGGUCCGGAGGUCCCAGCUCCACCUCGGCGCGAGGAGAAAAAGGAAGCACCUACCUUCUUGACCACUCAACUUUCUAAAGCUCCGCGCCUCUAUUUGCCUCUCUGGGCAAAAAGAAGGGAUGGGAAAAGGGGAGAAAAAGUCUAUCUCCUCCCAGGCUCCUCUCUCUAAGUCUUAGACUCUGCAGCCUAAGACUCGGGGAGAGGUGCCUCCGCUGGUCCUCUCGCCUGGGAGAGGAAAGAGGAGACUGAGGCGAAGACAAAUGGGGCGGAGAGGUUCUGCAAAGUUGCGCGCCCGGACUUCUGCCGGGCAUGUGCAGUAGGGAGGCGGGGGCGGCUCCGCGUGAGUUGCGCAGUGGCGCCGAGCCCGAGGCGUAGACCCUAAUGGGCCGGCAGGUGGCAGGAGGGAACCUUGUUUGAAAGGAUUUGGGCGAUGGGAGCGGCUGGGGGCCUGGCGGGUGCCAAGGAGCGAGCGAGCGAGCUAGCUACAGGUUAGAGUGCUUGCGCAGCUAGGCAUGGGUUCUCCGUGGGGUCCGUACCGCUCCCCAGCUUCUCCAGGGUUAUCGAUAAGUUGAACAAAGCCCGAAGCAGCUAAAAACCAGACCGCAAAAUUGCGGAUAUUCCGGAGGAAUGAGCUUCUGUACGUCAGUAUUAACGGUGCGGUUCCGGGCAUUUUCCAGGGGCUCAAUAGUGUGAGCAUGGUAACCUCAGGCAAUCAUUAAUUAAUCGUGAGAUCACCUUUGGCAGACCUGGUACAGUGACCGUAAUCUGAGCAGUUUCCAAUCCCCCCAACCACCAAUGCGGUCUCAAGAGACUAAUUAGUUACCUAAUGGAUAGAUGAGCAUCUUCCCUAAGAAGGACCCCCACAGACAGACGGAGUGAUGGUUUACACGUCCCCAAGCCCGUUGGUGGACCACCCUGAGCUCUAGCUGAGAACAUGUGCCGAAAGUCUAAUUAGCUGGAACCACUAGUUAAUAUCUGUGCUCUUCAGUAGGUGCAGCCAAUUGUCUGCCCUUGGGGGGCGCUGCAGGGCGAUCAGCUAUCAAGGAAACCGCUGGGUACCACUCAAAGCUCUUUUCAUAGAUAGGUUUUCAACGAAGUGAGUUCAUUCAACAAGUGAGUUCAUUCAACAAAUGUUGAGUGCCUAGCACAUGCCAAGCUCUGUUCUAGGUGCUGAAGAUAGAGUAGGAAGAAGAAAAGGAAAGAAAAGAAAAUCUUACAUCAAGGAAAGGAUACUUAGGAUUAAUUUGCUGUUACUCAGAGCAUUAAACCACUCAGGACUCCCUCCUUACCCACCAACAUUGUUUAACCCGGCGUGCAUUCUAGUGAGAAAAUUAUUGGAUCAACCAGAGCAUUAGGGCUAAGGGACCCCUCGACACCCUAGGUCAUGUCGUUGAACCCCAAAGGAAAUGAGCCCAUCUCUUUCUCAGCCCUGGAGAACCAAAUGAGCUCCAUGUCCUCCUGGAGGGGGAUCCGUGGAGUGGUCGUUGCUCAGGCAGGAUGGUGCUUCGGAAGCUCUGGGGUUCCACCUGUAACCUGACUGCUGCUUCUGGGUUGUGCAUGCCCUCCCCGUUAAAAUAUGCAGCAUCACUUUUGCCCUUGUGACAGGUCCACCGGUGGUAUAACUCAGGGCAAAACCAUCUUCCUAGAAUCUGUGGAAGCAACAACAAGGCAUUACAGGUGCGACAGGUGGUUUUUCUUGUCUUUGAGUCAACAUGGGGGACACUUGAAGAGUCCAUGAGGUAAUUCUGCCUUCCCUUCUGAGGUGGUCCACCAGGUGUCCCCUCCUGGCACUGCUUCCUGGUGCCGAAGUGUCCUGCACCCACAGCUAUUCCUCAGUGUGGUGUGACUCACCCUUAUCCCUUGCGCACCAUGCCUGCCUUAGAGCUGCUGAACCCAGAGUUAAGACCUUAGUGAGAUCCUAGCGACUGUUUUGACAUGUGGAGGUUUUGUUUCUGCAUCUUCGCUGGGGAUGGUCUUGAAUGCUCCUGCCCUGUCUUCUUGGCUGUGUCUAUCUUGCAUCUUGUUUUCUUCGAGUUAGUUUGUAGCAUUAAAAUACUGAUUGGUGUAAUAAAGUGGGAUUGAUU